Molecule: ribosomal RNA, 253 nt
Filed under: uncultured bacterium
Lineage: Bacteria
Description: partial 16S ribosomal RNA
Rfam family: Bacterial small subunit ribosomal RNA
Source: RNAcentral
UACAGAGGUCUCAAGCGUUGUUCGGAUUCAUUGGGCGUAAAGGGUGCGUAGGCGGCGCGGUAAGUCGGGUGUGAAAUCUCGGAGCUUAACUCCGAAACUGCAUUCGAUACUGCCGUGCUUGAGGACUGGAGAGGAGACUGGAAUUUACGGUGUAGCGGUGAAAUGCGUAGAUAUCGGGAGGAACACCAGAGGCGAAGGCGGGCUACUGGGCCGAUACUGACGCUGAUGUGCGAAAGCCAGGGGAGCGAACGGG